This 407-nucleotide ribosomal RNA is filed under the name uncultured microorganism. RNAcentral's name for it is "bacterial SSU rRNA". It matches the Rfam family "Bacterial small subunit ribosomal RNA", at positions 9 to 419 of the family's 1533-position model. The record is from RNAcentral.
GAGUUUGAUCGUGGCUCAGAUUGAACGCUGGCGGCAUGCCUUACACAUGCAAGUCGAACGGUAACAGGUCUUCGGAUGCUGACGAGUGGCGAACGGGUGAGUAAUACAUCGGAACGUGCCCGAUCGUGGGGGGAUAACGAAGCGAAAGCUUUGCUAAUACCGCAUAAGAUCUACGGAUGAAGCAGGGACCGGCAAGGCCUUGCGCGAACGGAGCGGCCGAUGGCAGAUUAGGUAGUUGGUGGGAUAAAAGCUUACCAAGCCGACGAUCUGUUAGCUGGUCUGAGAGGACGACCAGCCACACUGGGACUGAGACACGGCCCAGACUCCUACGGGAGGCAGCAGUGGGGAAUUUUGGACAAUGGGCGAAAGCCUGAUCCAGCCAUGCCGCGUGCAGGAUGAAGGCCUUC